UGGCUGUCGUCAGCUCGUGUCGUGAGAUGUUGGGUUAAGUCCCGUAACGAGCGCAACCCUUGUCCUUAGUUACCAGCACGUAAUGGUGGGCACUCUAAGGAGACUGCCGGUGACAAACCGGAGGAAGGUGGGGAUGACGUCAAGUCAUCAUGGCCCUUACGGCCUGGGCUACACACGUGCUACAAUGGUCGGUACAGAGGGUUGCCAAGCUGCGAGGUGGAGCUAAUCCCACAAAACCGAUCGUAGUCCGGAUCGCAGUCUGCAACUCGACUGCGUGAAGUCGGAAUCGCUAGUAAUCGUGAAUCAGAAUGUCACGGGGAAUACGUUCCCGGGUCUUGUACACACCGCCA
Molecule: ribosomal RNA, 350 nt
Filed under: uncultured bacterium
Lineage: Bacteria
Description: bacterial SSU rRNA
Rfam family: Bacterial small subunit ribosomal RNA
Source: RNAcentral